AUCCACGGCCAUAGGACUGUGAAAGCACCGCAUCCCGUCUGAUCUGCGCAGUUAAACACAGUGCCGCCUAGUUAGUACCAUGGUGGGGGACCACAUGGGAAUCCUGGGUGCUGUGGUUUUUG
Molecule: ribosomal RNA, 122 nt
Filed under: Agaricus bisporus (cultivated mushroom)
Lineage: Eukaryota; Fungi; Basidiomycota; Agaricomycetes; Agaricales; Agaricaceae
Source: RNAcentral